Molecule: long non-coding RNA, 670 nt
Organism: Hyla sarda
Lineage: Eukaryota; Metazoa; Chordata; Amphibia; Anura; Hylidae
Exons: 3
Source: RefSeq, a predicted model, not a curated record
AACCAGCACCUCGGGAUGACUGUUGGCCAGAUGGCAUAUUUGGUUUGGAUGCCACCAAGUGUCAUUUGUUCAAUGUCGGGAAAACCAAGAGGCCAUUAUUCCACCUCGUCCGUGAGCAUGCACAAUCCCUUAAAACCAGAGCAGGAGCAGUGCAUUUCAUAUGAAUGAAAAACAUAAAAGGAGAAAUGAAUGCCUUCCAAUUCACCGGCAUUGAAAGGGUCAAGCGUGCACAUGGAGGAAUGACAAAGGAAAAAAUCCAAGCUAAAAAAGAAGUAAGGUGGAUUUUAUGGUUAGAGGCUAUGGGUAAGACAGGUCUGAAUGACAUAUCAGAGCUAAAUGUAUUGCUAUAAUUUUCUCUGUUUUUAGAUAUGUUUUUAUGAUCACUUACCUGUCUGAUGUUUGUUUACAUGUAACCAUGGACACUGAGGGCGGGGAUUAUAUAACAUGUCUUAGAACGCGAUGACGAAUUGGCCUGUUAAAGCACAAGAAGUGUGCGAAACGGCGCCGUUGCCCUGCACCCCUGCACCAAUCUUUGUCUGCACCGCACUUGAUGUAACGAGGAUCCGUUAAUAAAUUCUUCACUGAAGCAUUCAAUGGUGUGCGGCAUUGGGCAGAUUUAUCAACUUUGGUUAGCAAUGUGGGGGUAAGCUGGAGACAAAAGAACUUCAGG